GACGAACGCUGGCGGCGCGCCUAACACAUGCAAGUCGAACGGGGUUAUGCUAGAUGAAGUUUUCGGAUGGAAUUUGGUAUAACCUAGUGGCGGACGGGUGAGUAACACGUGAGCAACCUGCCUAUCAGAGGGGGAUAACGAUUGGAAACGAUCGCUAAUACCGCAUGACAUAGCGGAAUCGCAUGGUUCUGUUAUCAAAGAUUUUAUCGCUGAUAGAUGGGCUCGCGUCCGAUUAGAUAGUUGGUGGGGUAAUGGCCUACCAAGUCGACGAUCGGUAGCCGGACUGAGAGGUCGAACGGCCACAUUGGGACUGAGACACGGCCCAGACUCCUACGGGAGGCAGCAGUGGGGGAUAUUGCACAAUGGGGGAAACCCUGAUGCAGCGACGCCGCGUGAGGGAAGACGGUCCUCUGGAUUGUAAAGCUCUGUCUUCGGGGACGAUAAUGACGGUACCCGAGGAGGAAGCCACGGCUAACUACGUGCCAGCAGCCGCAGUAA
RNAcentral lists this ribosomal RNA (498 nucleotides) under uncultured bacterium. Its description in RNAcentral is "partial 16S ribosomal RNA". It matches the Rfam family "Bacterial small subunit ribosomal RNA", at positions 28 to 523 of the family's 1533-position model. The record is from RNAcentral.